GUAACUUUUGACGCUCUAGCGGUUAAUAAACAGAACUGCUUGCGUCUUGCGGAAGAACAUUGUAGCCGGAGCUACUUCUCUCUGUUCAUGUCUAUGAAGAAUCACAAAGGUACCGGGUUACUCCGCCGCGGUACCCCCGAAGCAAUCUAAAAUAGUCCGAAUAUAAACACUUAUUAUAGAUGUACCCUAAGCCAUAUAGAGAGAGAGUUGCGACAACUCCAUUGACUCCAAUGGAACGCUUUUUUUACAGCAAUGGCGGCUCGUGGAGCCUCUAAAUAGUUCCCGGAAGUAGCAGCAAACCGAUGCCGCGCCGUAGAGAUGCAGCAGAACAAACCGUUUGCGACGCACUUUUAAAAGGUGGAGGAUUAGUGCUGCCACUGGACUGUUCUGUGAUGGAGCAUCAGUGAGGAUGCAGACCCAGGUAACUGGCUGAUGGUUCACUGGAAUGCUGACUG
Carassius carassius (crucian carp) is the source of this 455-nucleotide long non-coding RNA. RefSeq lists it as uncharacterized. The record is from RefSeq and is a predicted model, not a curated record. NCBI's taxonomy places the organism in Eukaryota, Metazoa, Chordata, Actinopteri, Cypriniformes, Cyprinidae. The transcript is spliced from 4 exons.